UACAGGGGGUGCAAACGUUGCUCGGAAUUACUGGGCGUAAAGCGCACGUAGGCGGACUGUUAAGUCGGGGGUGAAAUCCUGGGGCUCAACCUCAGAAUUGCCUCCGAUACUGGCAGUCUCGAGUGCGGGAGAGGUGAGUGGAAUUCCCAGUGUAGAGGUGAAAUUCGUAGAUAUUGGGAAGAACACCAGUGGCGAAGGCGGCUCACUGGCCCGUAACUGACGCUGAGGUGCGAAAGCGUGGGGAGCAAACAGG
This 253-nucleotide ribosomal RNA is filed under the name uncultured bacterium. Its description in RNAcentral is "partial 16S ribosomal RNA". It matches the Rfam family "Bacterial small subunit ribosomal RNA", at positions 524 to 776 of the family's 1533-position model. The record is from RNAcentral.